RNAcentral lists this ribosomal RNA (487 nucleotides) under Streptococcus gordonii. RNAcentral's name for it is "bacterial SSU rRNA". It matches the Rfam family "Bacterial small subunit ribosomal RNA", at positions 28 to 489 of the family's 1533-position model. The record is from RNAcentral. Lineage: Bacteria; Bacillati; Bacillota; Bacilli; Lactobacillales; Streptococcaceae.
GACGAACGCUGGCGGCGUGCCUAAUACAUGCAAGUAGAACGCACAGUUUAUACCGUAGCUUGCUACACCAUAGACUGUGAGUUGCGAACGGGUGAGUAACGCGUAGGUAACCUGCCUGGUAGCGGGGGAUAACUAUUGGAAACGAUAGCUAAUACCGCAUAAUAUUAAUUAUUGCAUGAUAAUUGAUUAAAAGGUGCAAUUGCACCACUACCAGAUGGACCUGCGUUGUAUUAGCUAGUAGGUGAGGUAACGGCUCACCUAGGCGACGAUACAUAGCCGACCUGAGAGGGUGAUCGGCCACACUGGGACUGAGACACGGCCCAGACUCCUACGGGAGGCAGCAGUAGGGAAUCUUCGGCAAUGGACGAAAGUCUGACCGAGCAACGCCGCGUGAGUGAAGAAGGUUUUCGGAUCGUAAAGCUCUGUUGUAAGAGAAGAACGGGUGUGAGAGUGGAAAGUUCACAGCUGUGACGGUAUCUACCAGAAA